UGACACUGUUGCGACGCUACACUGUUUGACUCUUUGUCUAGCCACAAAUAUAAAAACUAAAGUUUGGCCAUAUUAAGGGCAAUGAAGGAAGGUGACUAGUUUGGAAGUACUCCCAGACUGAAGAAAGAAAAAAAAAUAGCCCUCCACGGUUGGGAAACUGGACCAUCUCUAUGUGCUGCUUAGAGAUGCUGACCAGAAACUCAGAUCCAAAGAUUGAUGCAAGGAGUUUUUUCACAAUUGUCAAUCAAUCAUUGUUUCUAAGGGCCCCUACCAGGUCCUUCUGACUAUUCCCACAGCUGCCAAACUUGUGGGUAUGGACUCUUGGAUCGUCUGAAGAAAGCUGCUGCUCAUGAGUGGACACCAGAACCCUCUGAGGACCUCAAAGUUUGUCUAGUGUGGACCCAGAAGCAGCUGUCCCAAGAUUCAGAUGAGGGCUGAGUACACUGUCCUAGUUUUGUUGUUCCUCCUCCCUCUUGUUAUGUGCCCAACCACCAAGGCAAGAGUGUGUUGGCAUUUUCUCCCUCUACAUUCUUGGCCUCCACCUCUCUUUUCUACUUGCAAGCAAACAAUGGCUAGACAAGACCUAUUCAACUCAACAUCUCAUCUUGGCCCAGCUGGCUUCUCUUGGCCUUGACUUAUACCUGCCUCUCCUUUAUUGGCCAGAAGGGUAGGAGUUCUUUCAGACCCCCUCCCAUUGACCAAAAUGGGGAAAUGUCAAGAUAUUAGGAGAGACCCUAACAGUCCCGCUGAGCACCUGUGCCCUGAGCUUGGCAUGACAACAAUUCUUUGUGCUCACCCUCUGGAUGAACACUGGAUGAACUGAUGAUCUCUGAGCUCAGGCAAGCACCAACAGACCCAGACAUGAAGCCCUGCUAUGAAUGGAAGUUUUACCACUAGACAACCUUGCCUCAGUGUUACUGUUGUGCCUUGUCACUGUUGCUACACUACAUUUUUUGACUCUUUGUCUAGCCAUAAAUAUAUAAAUCAAGGUUUGACCCGCUAAGGCAGGUCCCCCCACGAGGGCGGAGUCCCAGUACAUGUGUUUAGAUCCCUCAUUGCUUUCAAUCCAUUUCCUUCACUUUGAAAUUAAACUUGUGUUU
Vombatus ursinus (common wombat) is the source of this 1100-nucleotide long non-coding RNA. RefSeq lists it as uncharacterized. The record is from RefSeq and is a predicted model, not a curated record. The transcript is spliced from 3 exons. Lineage: Eukaryota; Metazoa; Chordata; Mammalia; Diprotodontia; Vombatidae.